CCCGAGUGGUCUAAGGGGUUACGUUCAGGUCGUAAUGUUUUCGAACGCGUGGGUUCAAAUCCCAC
Molecule: transfer RNA, 65 nt
Filed under: Phytophthora boehmeriae
Lineage: Eukaryota; Oomycota; Peronosporomycetes; Peronosporales; Peronosporaceae
Description: tRNA-Leu
Rfam family: tRNA
About the family: Transfer RNA (tRNA) molecules are approximately 80 nucleotides in length. Their secondary structure includes four short double-helical elements and three loops (D, anti-codon, and T loops).
Source: RNAcentral